This 301-nucleotide ribosomal RNA is filed under the name uncultured bacterium. Its description in RNAcentral is "partial 16S ribosomal RNA". It matches the Rfam family "Bacterial small subunit ribosomal RNA", at positions 509 to 807 of the family's 1533-position model. The record is from RNAcentral.
CAGUAGCCACGGUAAUACGUAGGGUGCAAGCGUUAAUCGGAAUUACUGGGCGUAAAGCGUGCGCAGGCGGUUUGUUAAGACAGAUGUGAAAUCCCCGGGCUCAACCUGGGAACUGCAUUUGUGACUGGCAAGCUAGAGUCUGGCAGAGGGGGGUGGAAUUCCGCGUGUAGCAGUGAAAUGCGUAGAUAUGCGGAGGAACACCGAUGGCGAAGGCAGCCCCCUGGGCCAACACUGACGCUCAUGCACGAAAGCGUGGGGAGCAAACAGGAUUAGAUACCCCCGUAGUCCCUGUCUCUUAUAC